Nylanderia fulva is the source of this 3249-nucleotide non-coding RNA. NCBI's taxonomy places the organism in Eukaryota, Metazoa, Arthropoda, Insecta, Hymenoptera, Formicidae. The record is from RefSeq and is a predicted model, not a curated record.
CAGGUUUAAUUUAUGACAAGUUUUUUACCGUGACAAACAUACAAAACGACCGUGACUUUUGUUAUUGACGCGGAUGGAAAAUUCUAGAAUUUACAAAAGUUUUACUUAACAUCUCAAACAUUCCCGCCCGCCUUGUCGCAACGUGACAAAGAUUGGUGGUGGUUCCGGCGCGGAUCACAUUCCGAUAGCGAUCGAUGGUGGGGCGGGCGCGCCGGCGCGGCGAAAUACACGUGGUGAUCGCGUGGUGUGAAUCGAUCAGCUGAGCCGAUGAGAGCACGUGGUAAACGCGUGGUGUGAAAUAAUCAGCUGAUCUGGUGACAACGCGUGGUUGAUGUGAACGGCGAGUGUGUAAUGCAGUGAGCGGUGAUAACGAAAUAAUUUUUUUCUUUUUGUGCGGUGGUGGAUGAGAUGAGUGACGUGCGACAGAUGCUAUGAUGCAUGAUGUGAUGAUUGUGUGACGUUACGAAGUGUCAGCGUGCGGUGUAGGUGCGUCGUUCACGCCCGGGAGGAAAACAAGCUUGACGAGUGGGCGCACAAGCUCGGACGUGGCCGUUUGGAUUGACACCACGCGUACAAUCCCAUCGUCCCCGGGGUGCAGUCGCGAUAUGCGAGCCAGUGGCCAUCGGCUCGGUGGGGUGAGCUCGGAGCGCACGAGACAGAGAUCACCGAUGUGGGGUGCAGCUUCGUCCUUGAGCCAUUUGGUGCGCGAGGCUAGUCCGUGUAAAUAUUCGGACGACCAUCGCUGCCAGAAGUGAUCCCUCAUCUGCUGCAAAUGACGCCAGCGUGACAAGGUGGAUACCGUCUGCCCUGUCAAUGACAAUUCCGGCACAGCAAGUAGCGGCGCCCCGACGAGGAAGUGACCGGGGGUCAACGCCGAGACGUCCUCUGGGUCAUCUGAGAGUGCCUGCAAUGGACGAGAAUUAAGACAAGCUUCGAUCUGGGCGAGGAGUGUGCUCAGCUCCUCGAACGUGAGGGUGGUCUCGCCGAUCACCCGACGGAGGUGGAACUUGGUCGACUUCACUGCAGCCUCCCAAAGACCACCAAAGUGCGGGGCCGCUGGCGGGUUGAAGUGCCAGCGGAUUCCUUGAGCGGUGGCGGCAAGGACGAUACGAUGACCUUCGGCUGUCGCUGCAUCAAAGAGACCUCGCAGCGUACGAUCUGCCCCGAUGAAUGUCGUGCCGCAGUCGCUGUAGAUCUCAGCACAGAGGCCCCUGCGGGAGACGAAGCGGUGCAGAGCGGCGAUGAAAACCUCGGAGGUGUAGUCGGAGACGACCUCCAAGUGAGUGGCCUUCGACCAGAAACAGACAAAGACUGCGAUGUACCCUUUGUGCGCGCGGUGUCCACGUCCCUUGCUGGUCCGAAGGAGGAUGGGUCCUGCGUAAUCCACGCCGGUGCUGAGGAACGGUCGGGUUGGCGUUACUCGGUCCCGAGGAAGGUUACCCAUCUGAGGCUGUGGCGUGGCAGCACGCCAUCGAGUGCAGGUAACGCAUCGAUGUAGCUGCUGCUUGACGGCGGUUCUUCCUCGAGGUACCCAGAAGCGCAGGCGGAGCAGGCCGAGUGUCAGCUGCACACCCCCGUGCAGUGUCCGUCGAUGGCAGGAAUCGAUCACCAGCCGAGUCAGCCAGGAUACCGCCGGGAUGAUCAUCGGAUGUUUCUCGUCGAGCGGAAGUUGAGAGUUUUUGAGACGUCCUCCGACGCGCAGUACGCCUUGAUCGUCGAGGAACGGACUCAACUUCACCAGGUGGCUUCGCGGUGGAGUAGUGCGUCCAGCAGAGGCCGCGGCCACGUCCGUCGGAAAGUGGAGCGCCUGCACCACUCGCAGCCAUCGAAACAGCGCGGAGUCCAGCUCGUCAGGCUGCAAUGGACGGCCAGGUCUGGCGUCACGUCUCACCGGGUUGAGCCAUCGACGACACCACGCAGUGACUCGCAGCAGCCGUUGCAGCGUCGGGAACCGCAGAAGAAGGUCCGGUUCGGUAGUGACUGGCGCCUUGACUACCAGGCUGGUGACUCGUUGCUCAGGGAGGUCAUCCUCUGGGUCGUCGAUGUCUGCACCAGGCCAGGCAGCCUCGUCUCCUGACAGCCAGGGUUUUCUCGUCCGGCGACGUGUCUCCAAUGAGCGUCUGGAAGCAGGGUCUGGAUCUGCGACACUCGGUUGGCAACAAAGGUCUUCCAGCGGGUGCAGUGUCCGCGAAUCCAGUGAAGAGUGACCUUGGAGUCGGACCACAGGUGCACCGGCGUAGCAGCCAAGCCGAGGGUAGUGCGUACAUGCAACAUGAGCGUGCGUUGCGGAUGUAUACGACGGCGGCGUAUCCUCGCUCCGAUGCAUCGGCAAACCCAUGGAGCUGCAGUUGCGACUGGUCAUCUCCGGUGCUGAGCCAACGAUCCACACGGAUGUGAUCCAGCAACGGAAGUUGAUUCAGCAGUUGUCUCCAGCGGUGUGCGUCCUGAUCAGGCAGCGGAGAGUCCCAAUCCAGCCGUUGAAGCCACGUAGACUGGAUCAGAAUUUUGGCUCGGAUGACGACAGGCGCUAGCCAGCCCAUCGGAUCGAAUAGUCGAGCUGUCUCGGCCAAGACUCGUCUCUUCGUGAGGUCGGUGGUUGAACGCGGACGUAUGGUGAAGGAGAACCAAUCCCCUUGAGGAUGCCAUCGAAGACCCAGGGUGGCGUGGCUCUCUCCUUCCCACGAGCGCGGUCCGCGUUGAAGCCGAUGUUCCGGCGGAAUUCCGGUGAGCACCUGCUGGUUGUUGGCAGCCCACUUUCGCAAAGGAAAUCCGCCCGCCAUGCAGAGACUCUGUAGUUCCUGUUGGAGUUUGAUGGCAUCCGCCAGGCUGUCAGCACCGGUGACCACGUCGUCGACGUAACAGUCUUGUCGCAGCGCCCUGACUCCGCGUGGAUAUCGUGCCUCUUCGUCUGCAGCAAGUUGGUGAAGCGUCCUGAUGGCGAGGAAGGGUGCGCACGCCAGUCCGUAGGUCACGGUCUUCAACUCGUACUCGCGGAUGUUGUCUGAGCUGUUGUGGCGCCACAGGAUGGUUUGCAGGCGACAAUCCUCCGGAUGAACAAGAAUUUGUCGGUACAUUUUCUCGAUGUCCGUGACGAAAACGUACCGAUGCCAACGCCAACGGAGUAAGACGUCAGCGAGUGCUGGCAAGAGGUUAGCUCCAGUGAGGAGGUGCGAGUUCAGCGACUCUCCGGACCGUGUGCGUUGGGAGCCGUUGAACACAACCCUGAGCUUCGUGGUCGUGCUCGACUCC